Molecule: ribosomal RNA, 925 nt
Filed under: uncultured bacterium
Lineage: Bacteria
Description: bacterial SSU rRNA
Rfam family: Bacterial small subunit ribosomal RNA
Source: RNAcentral
AGAGUUUGAUCCUGGCUCAGAUUGAACGCUGGCGGCGUGCUUAACACAUGCAAGUCGUGCGAGAAAGGGGGCUUCGGUCCCUGAGUAGAGCGGCGCACGGGUGAGUAACGCGUGGAUGAUCUACCCUUGAGUUCGGGAUAACGGGACGAAAGACCCGCUAAUACCGUAUAACAAUCCAUUUCAUCGUGGGUUCAAAGCAGGCCUCUCCAUGGAAGCUUGCGCUUGGGGAUGAGUCCGCGUCCCAUUAGCUAGUUGGCGGGGUAACGGCCCACCAAGGCAACGAUGGGUAGCUGGUCUGAGAGGAUGAUCAGCCACACUGGAACUGAAACACGGUCCAGACUCCUACGGGAGGCAGCAGUGGGGAAUAUUGCGCAAUGGGGGAAACCCUGACGCAGCGACGCCGUGUGAGGGAAGAAGGCCUUCGGGUCGUAAACCUCUGUCAGGAGGGAAGAACCACCAGGAGUCGAAUAGGCUCUUGGUCUGACGGUACCUCCAGAGGAAGCGCCGGCUAACUCCGUGCCAGCAGCCGCGGUAAUACGGAGGGCGCAAGCGUUAAUCGGAAUCACUGGGCGUAAAGCGCGCGUAGGCUGUUUGGUAAGUCAGACGUGAAAUCCCUCGGCUCAACCGGGGAACUGCGUUUGGUACUGCCGAACUCGAGUCCUGGAGAGGGUGGCGGAAUUCCUGGUGUAGGAGUGAAAUCCGUAGAUAUCAGGAGGAACACCGGUGGCGAAGGCGGCCACCUGGACAGGUACUGACGCUGAGGCGCGAAAGCGUGGGGAGCAAACAGGAUUAGAUACCCUGGUAGUCCACGCUGUAAACGAUGGAUGCUAGGUGUCGGGGAGCGAUCUUCGGCGCCGCAGCUAACGCAUUAAGCAUCCCGCCUGGGGAGUACGGUCGCAAGGCUGAAACUCAAAUGAAUUGACGG